This 340-nucleotide ribosomal RNA is filed under the name uncultured bacterium. Its description in RNAcentral is "bacterial SSU rRNA". It matches the Rfam family "Bacterial small subunit ribosomal RNA", at positions 28 to 333 of the family's 1533-position model. The record is from RNAcentral.
GACGAACGCUGGCGGCGUGCCUAAUACAUGCAAGUCGAACGCACUCUCGUUUAGAUUGAAGGAGCUUGCUCCUGAUUGAUAAACAUUUGAGUGAGUGGCGGACGGGUGAGUAACACGUGGGUAACCUGCCCUAAAGUGGGGGAUAACAUUUGGAAACAGAUGCUAAAUACCGCAUAAAACUUAACACCGCAUGGUGUAGGGUUGAAAGAUGGUUUCGGCUAUCACUUUAGGAUGGACCCGCGGUGCAUUAGUUAGUUGGUGAGGUAAAGGCUCACCAAGACCGUGAUGCAUAGCCGACCUGAGAGGGUAAUCGGCCACACUGGGACUGAGACACGGCCCA